This 459-nucleotide ribosomal RNA is filed under the name Panolis pinicortex. RNAcentral's name for it is "partial 16S ribosomal RNA". The record is from RNAcentral. Lineage: Eukaryota; Metazoa; Arthropoda; Insecta; Lepidoptera; Noctuidae.
UGCCCACUGAUAUAAAUUAAAGGGCUGCAGUAAUUUGACUGUACAAAGGUAGCAUAAUCAUUAGUCAUUUAAUUGAUGACUUGUAUGAAAGAUUGGAUGAAAUAUAAUCUGUUUUUUAUUUAUAUUUAGAACUUAAUUUUUUAAUUAAAAAGUUAAAAUAAUUUAAAAAGACGAGAAGACCCUAUAGAGUUUUAUAAAUAAAUUAAUUAAAAUUAUUAAUAAAAUAAAUAAAUUGAAAUUAAAUUAUUUAUUUUGUUGGGGUGAUAAAAAAAUAUGAAAAACUUUUUUAAAAUGAAUACAUAUAUAAGUGAAUAUUUGAUCCAUUAUUAUUGAUUAAAAGAAAAAAUUACCUUAGGGAUAACAGCGUAAUUUUUUUUUUUAGUUCAUAUAAAAAAAAGAGUUUGCGACCUCGAUGUUGGAUUAAGAUAAAAUUUAAAUGCAGAAGUUUAAAGUUUUUGA